AGGGUCCCGGGGAGUCGCAGGCCGUGCAGGGGCGACACAGAGGUCUGUGUGUUCUCUGGAAGGGCGGGCCAACAAGAAGUCCUUCCUGCUUUGGAACGACCUCUCUCCCAUAGACAGGGUUCUUCCCCGCUGCCAGGAAGAAGUUGGGGUGUCUGGGGUGAGAAAGCAGGGGCAGGGCAUGUUCGUGGGACCAGCAUGGAGGGUCCCAAAGGACGUGGCUUGC
Molecule: small nucleolar RNA, 223 nt
Organism: Phyllostomus discolor (pale spear-nosed bat)
Lineage: Eukaryota; Metazoa; Chordata; Mammalia; Chiroptera; Phyllostomidae
Source: RefSeq, a predicted model, not a curated record